AUUGAACGCUGGCGGUAUGCUUAAGACAUGCAAGUCGAACGGUAACAGGUUAAGCUGACGAGUGGCGGACGAGUGAGUAACGCGUGGGAAUCUACCUUGUAGUGGGGGAUAAGCCAGGGAAACUUGGACUAAUACCGCAUACGCCCUAAGGGGGAAAGGCGCAAGUCGCUAUAAGAUGAGCCCGCGUCUGAUUAGGUAGUUGGUGGGGUAAAGGCCUACCAAGCCGACGAUCAGUAGCUGGUCUGAGAGGAUGAUCAGCCACGUCGGGACUGAGACACGGCCCGGACUCCUACGGGAGGCAGCAGUCGGGAAUAUUGGACAAUGGGGGAAACCCUGAUCCAGCAAUACCGCGUGUGUGAAGAAGGCCUGCG
This 371-nucleotide ribosomal RNA is filed under the name uncultured bacterium. Its description in RNAcentral is "bacterial SSU rRNA". It matches the Rfam family "Bacterial small subunit ribosomal RNA", at positions 30 to 420 of the family's 1533-position model. The record is from RNAcentral.